UAGCAUUUAGAUUCGAAUCGAAUUCGAAUCGGAUUCUGAUUUGGACUAAUUUAGAACCAAUUUGAGCCAAAUUGGAUUUGGUCUUGAAGUGGGUUCGAAGUGUUUUAAUUGGGCUUGCUGUUGGGUGCCAAAAACCAGAGAAUCACAUGCCUAAGAGUCUCUCUCUUGGCGUGUGGAUUUAAAUCCAUGCGCAUGAGCCACAUGGCACAUGGAUGGAGUUGGCGCCACCUUUAGAUAAGGUCUAUCCUAUUUUUCUCCGUAACCUUUAUUCUACGAAUGUAUUUCAGAUGUCUUAGGAGGUGCCUAAGAGUCCUUCUGAGUAUUAAACUCAUCAUAGAAGAAUUAAGAAAAGGAUAAGGAUUAAAUCCAUGUGCCACCUCUUGGAAGCGCCCCUUUGAAAUUUCAAAUGGGGAGA
RNAcentral lists this long non-coding RNA (415 nucleotides) under Elaeis guineensis (African oil palm). Its description in RNAcentral is "long non-coding RNA (EGUI_LNC077947)". Lineage: Eukaryota; Viridiplantae; Streptophyta; Magnoliopsida; Arecales; Arecaceae. The record is from RNAcentral.